Molecule: non-coding RNA, 731 nt
Organism: Benincasa hispida (wax gourd)
Lineage: Eukaryota; Viridiplantae; Streptophyta; Magnoliopsida; Cucurbitales; Cucurbitaceae
Source: RefSeq, a predicted model, not a curated record
AUUUGGUGAAAAACACUCUCGCUCUCUAACUUUUGGUAACAGAAGAGAAGAAGAAGAAGAAGUUGAAGAUACUGAUGUAUGUGGUUCAGCCAAUGGAGCCUACAACCACGGGAAGGGAAGUAAUUUUAUUGAAGGCUCAAAGAAGAUAAAGAAACCUAAUCCAAUAAUGAAAAUGAGGUCAGUGAAAUGAAUGAUGGAAGGAAGACCACGUUAACAAGCUGAAUGUCAAACAUGUGGGUGGAAACUCUUCCACUUUUCUGUCGAGUAGGUAAGAUAAUCAGCUGAGAAAAUUAAUUUGGUGAAAAAUACUCUCUCUAUAACUUUUUUUCUCUCAACUCUACCUUAAUCUCUCUUUGUGUCCAUGGCGAUUUGCAAGAAAACAUGAUGAUUUCUAGCAUGUAGAUAACAAAAGAGAAGGAGAAGAAGAAGCUGAAGACACUGAUGUAUGUGGUUUAGCCAAUGGAACCUACAUCCAUGGGAAGGGAAAUAAUUUUAUUGAAGGCUGUUUACAAGAAGAUAAGAUCUCUUUCAUUUGAUUUCUCUUUUCAAUACAUGUAAUUUUUGAAAUAGAUCUAUAUUUAUAGCAAGUAGAUUUUAGUUAAAUGUUUGUUAAAGACUGUUUGUAAAGAGAUAAACUAGCCAUUGACAUUAUUUUUGCUUCAAAGAAUAAGAAAAUUAGCUUGGUUUUUUUUUUGUCUUUUCUUUUCUUUUUUUUUUAUAAAAAAAAAUCA